GGACAAUAUUGCCUUGCCAAUGAACUGGCAUGUUGAACACACAACAAGGAUUUAAGCUCUGCUACAGCUCGAGAAGAACCUUGACAAAAAUUCAUAAAAGAUCAACACUAUCAGGAUUGUGAGCAAAGUUUUGUCAUGGAGUGCUUCAGUACAUUCAAAAUUGCAACUGCUGGAUUGAAGAGAAUCAAAGAUAAUGGAGAAUGGGCAGAAAAAUGGACAUGACAAAUGUUGGCUAAGCCACAAUCCUAUUGAAAAGCAAAGCAUGCUUGAGGGUGCAACAAGCCUACUCCUGUUCACACACUUCAUGAACGAUCUUCUGGACCACUUUGUGGGAGGCUUGACAUGUGAGGUGGAAAGAUUCUAUUGGAAGACACUUCUGUGAACUCUUUGGAAGUCCUUUAACAAAGCAUGAAUCAUUCAACUUCCUUCAGUAAUUUGAUCCCAGAGAGAUGUGCCCUCUUAAUAAAAAUUAACUGAGAAUCAUUACAGUGAAAAUAUUCAAUAAUGAAAUGCUCGCAAAAAAAGAUUAGACUAAAAUCUGACAAGAUAAUUAACUUUCAAAUGGCAAUGUGAUAGUUCAAACAUAACUACAGUAUAGCAAGAUUUUAUCAAAGCUUUCCAUUGAGCUUGUAAAGCACACCUUAAACCCAUGUGGGGUGACAUAAUUCUUCCAAAAA
Long non-coding RNA from Hypanus sabinus (Atlantic stingray), 677 nucleotides. RefSeq lists it as uncharacterized. The record is from RefSeq and is a predicted model, not a curated record. The transcript has 3 exons. NCBI's taxonomy places the organism in Eukaryota, Metazoa, Chordata, Chondrichthyes, Myliobatiformes, Dasyatidae.